Molecule: ribosomal RNA, 274 nt
Filed under: uncultured bacterium
Lineage: Bacteria
Description: partial 16S ribosomal RNA
Rfam family: Bacterial small subunit ribosomal RNA
Source: RNAcentral
AUACGGAGGGAGCGAGCGUUAAUCGGAAUUACUGGGCGUAAAGCGCGCGUAGGCGGCUUUGUAAGUCGGAUGUGAAAGCCCUGGGCUCAACCUGGGAAUUGCACUCGAUACUGCAGAGCUAGAGUAUGGUAGAGGGAAGUGGAAUUUCCGGUGUAGCGGUGAAAUGCGUAGAUAUCGGAAGGAACACCAGUGGCGAAGGCGACUUCCUGGGCCAAUACUGACGCUGAGGUGCGAAAGCGUGGGGAGCAAACAGGAUUAGAAACCCUAGUAGUCC